GACGAACGCUGGCGGCGUGCUUAACACAUGCAAGUCGAACGGAAAGGCCUCAGCUUGCUGGGGUACUCGAGUGGCGAACGGGUGAGUAACACGUGGGUGAUCUGCCUUGCACUCUGGGAUAAGCUUGGGAAACUGGGUCUAAUACCGGAUAUGAACUGCCUUUAGUGUGGUGGUUGGAAAGUUUUUUCGGUGCAAGAUGAGCUCGCGGCCUAUCAGCUUGUUGGUGGGGUAAUGGCCUACCAAGGCGUCGACGGGUAGCCGGCCUGAGAGGGUGUACGGCCACAUUGGGACUGAGAUACGGCCCAGACUCCUACGGGAGGCAGCAGUGGGGAAUAUUGCACAAUGGGCGGAAGCCUGAUGCAGCGACGCCGCGUGGGGGAGGACGGCCUUCGGGUUGGAAACUCCUUUCGACAGGGACGAAGCUUUUUGUGACGGUACCUGUAUAAGAAGCACCGGCUAACUACGUG
RNAcentral lists this ribosomal RNA (467 nucleotides) under uncultured bacterium. RNAcentral's name for it is "partial 16S ribosomal RNA". It matches the Rfam family "Bacterial small subunit ribosomal RNA", at positions 28 to 507 of the family's 1533-position model. The record is from RNAcentral.